CCUACGGGUGGCAGCAGUAGGGAAUAUUGCUCAAUGGGGGAAACCCUGAAGCAGCAACGCCGCGUGGAGGAUGAAGGUUUUCGGAUUGUAAACUCCUUUUGUUAGAGAAGAUAAUGACGGUAUCUAACGAAUAAGCACCGGCUAACUCCGUGCCAGCAGCCGCGGUAAUACGGAGGGUGCAAGCGUUACUCGGAAUCACUGGGCGUAAAGAGCGCGUAGGCGGGAUAGCAAGUCAGAUGUGAAAUCCUAUGGCUUAACCAUAGAACUGCAUUUGAAACUGUUAUUCUAGAGUAUGGGAGAGGUAGGUGGAAUGCUUGGUGUAGGGGUAAAAUGCGUAGAGAUCAAGAGGAAUACUCAUUGCGAAGGCGACCUGCUAGAACAUAACUGACGCUGAUGCGCGUAAGCGUGGGGAGCAAACAGGAUUAGAUACCCCAGUAGUC
RNAcentral lists this ribosomal RNA (440 nucleotides) under uncultured bacterium. RNAcentral describes it as "partial 16S ribosomal RNA". It matches the Rfam family "Bacterial small subunit ribosomal RNA", at positions 338 to 795 of the family's 1533-position model. The record is from RNAcentral.